This 68-nucleotide transfer RNA is filed under the name Auchenoplax crinita. RNAcentral describes it as "tRNA-Gly". The record is from RNAcentral. Lineage: Eukaryota; Metazoa; Annelida; Polychaeta; Terebellida; Ampharetidae.
CUAUUUUAGUAUAAUAAGUAUGAUUUCUUUCCAAGAAAUAGGUUUAAAAAUAUUGGUUUAAAAGUAGU